Molecule: ribosomal RNA, 468 nt
Filed under: uncultured bacterium
Lineage: Bacteria
Description: partial 16S ribosomal RNA
Rfam family: Bacterial small subunit ribosomal RNA
Source: RNAcentral
GACGAACGCUGGCGGCGUGCUUAACACAUGCAAGUCGAACGGAAAGGCCCUGCUUUUGUGGGGUGCUCGAGUGGCGAACGGGUGAGUAACACGUGAGUAACCUGCCCUUGACUUUGGGAUAACUUCAGGAAACUGGGGCUAAUACCGGAUAGGAGCUCCUGCUGCAUGGUGGGGGUUGGAAAGUUUCGGCGGUUGGGGAUGGACUCGCGGCUUAUCAGCUUGUUGGUGGGGUAGUGGCUUACCAAGGCUUUGACGGGUAGCCGGCCUGGGAGGGUGACCGGCCACAUUGGGACUGAGAUACGGCCCAGACUCCUACGGGAGGCAGCAGUGGGGAAUAUUGCACAGUGGGCGGGAGCCUGAUGCAGCAGCGCCGCGUGCGGGAUGACGGCCUUCGGGUUGUAAACCGCUUUCGCCUGUGACGAAGCGUGAGUGACGGUACUGGAUAAAGAAGCACCGGCUAACUACGUG